CGCGCCGGCACCGGCCCCGGAACGUGGCUCGCCAGCAGGCCGUGCUCCAGCUCGCUCAGCAGGAUGUAGUUGUUGAAGUAGGGGAAGAGCCCCAGGUGGUCGAGCGGGUUGUCGAAGCCGGCGAGGAGGUCCGAGUAGUGGGCCUCCAGCAGGCCCUCGGCGUCGGCGCAGAGGCGGAUCAGCCGCGCGCGCAUCUCCUGCAGCUCGGGGCCGAGGCGCUCCACGUCGACGGCGCUUGGAGGGAUGCAGGCCGUCACCAGCUCCGUGAAGAGCGCGUUCACCUCGGGGGACGGGCUCAGCGACGGCAGCUUGGCGAUGGCAGCGGCGAGCCCGGCGAUCUUGUGCACGAGCGCCGCCUCCUCAUCCGACGCCAUCCCCUCCUCCGGGACUGGUACCUGGACCUCCUCCUCCUGCUUGUUCCCCAUGUCGACCAUGGCGCGUGGCGGGCACGUACGGUCAGUCACAG
RNAcentral lists this long non-coding RNA (466 nucleotides) under Setaria italica (foxtail millet). RNAcentral's name for it is "long non-coding RNA (SITA_LNC001737)". Lineage: Eukaryota; Viridiplantae; Streptophyta; Magnoliopsida; Poales; Poaceae. The record is from RNAcentral.